GGAUCAGACUUUGAUCAUGGCUCACGAUGAACGCUAGCUACAGGCUUAACACAUGCAAGUCGAGGGGCAGUGGGAUUGAAGCUUGCUUCAAUUGCCGGCGACCGGCGCACGGGUGAGUAACGCGUAUCCAAUCUUCCGUACACUCAGGGAUAGCCUUUCGAAAGAAAGAUUAAUACCUGAUAGUAUCUUAAGCACACAUGUAAUUAAGAUUAAAGAUUUAUCGGUGUACGAUGGGGAUGCGUUCCAUUAGGUAGUAGGCGGGGUAACGGCCCACCUAGCCAACGAUGGAUAGGGGUUCUGAGAGGAAGGUCCCCCACAUUGGAACUGAGACACGGUCCAAACUCCUACGGGAGGCAGCAGUGAGGAAUAUUGGUCAAUGGACGAGAGUCUGAACCAGCCAAGUAGCGUGAAGGAUGAAGGUCCUACGGAUUGUAAACUUCUUUUAUAAGGGAAUAAACCCUCCCACGUGUGGGAGCUUGUAUGUACCUUAUGAAUAAGCAUCGGCUAACUCCGUGCCAGCAGCCGCGGUAAUACGGAGGAUGCGAGCGUUAUCCGGAUUUAUUGGGUUUAAAGGGAGCGCAGACGGGUCGUUAAGUCAGCUGUGAAAGUUUGGGGCUCAACCUUAAAAUUGCAGUUGAUACUGGCGUCCUUGAGUGCGGUUGAGGUGUGCGGAAUUCGUGGUGUAGCGGUGAAAUGCUUAGAUAUCACGAAGAACUCCGAUUGCGAAGGCAGCACACUAAUCCGUAACUGACGUUCAUGCUCGAAAGUGUGGGUAUCAAACAGGAUUAGAUACCCUGGUAGUCCACACGGUAAACGAUGGAUACUCGCUGUUGGCGAUAUACUGUCAGCGGCUUAGCGAAAGCG
This 864-nucleotide ribosomal RNA is filed under the name uncultured Bacillota bacterium. RNAcentral's name for it is "bacterial SSU rRNA". It matches the Rfam family "Bacterial small subunit ribosomal RNA", at positions 1 to 859 of the family's 1533-position model. Lineage: Bacteria; Bacillati; Bacillota. The record is from RNAcentral.